Long non-coding RNA from Dreissena polymorpha, 371 nucleotides. RefSeq lists it as uncharacterized. The record is from RefSeq and is a predicted model, not a curated record. The transcript is spliced from 3 exons. Lineage: Eukaryota; Metazoa; Mollusca; Bivalvia; Myida; Dreissenidae.
AACAUGUUUUCGAGAAAGAUAAGUCUGUCAAUCAAGCUGAUAUGAUGGGUAUCGUGCUGGUGUUACAGUUUGUUUAAUCUUCCAUAAUAGAAAGCACUCUGUUUCUGGGCAUUUGUUUCAUUUACUUUAAUCCAAUUACAUGUUUCCGGGAACCUGCAUCAAUACGUUUCUGUCAACCACGGGGAAUUGUUCGAUCAAUUUCAACAAAUCUGGAUUUACUCUCAAGCAUACUUAGUAUAUGAUGGAGGUACUAAGCAGGAUCGGGAAGUAAGUAAGAUGCACGAACACUUCGGCCUCAUCUCUAUAAAAUUGAAGAAAGCCAGACAGAAGGCAACAACAACAAAUGAAAUAUGUCCUACAUCUGGUUCAAG